GAUGAACGCUGGCGGCGUGCCUAAUACAUGCAAGUCGAGCGAACAGACGAGGAGCUUGCUCCUCUGACGUUAGCGGCGGACGGGUGAGUAACACGUGGAUAACCUACCUAUAAGACUGGGAUAACUUCGGGAAACCGGAGCUAAUACCGGAUAAUAUAUUGAACCGCAUGGUUCAAUAGUGAAAGACGGUUUUGAUGACACUUAUAGAUGGAUCCGCGCCGCAUUAGCUAGUUGGUAAGGUAACGGCUUACCAAGGCAACGAUGCGUAGCCGACCUGAGAGGGUGUUCGGCCACACUGGAACUGAGGCACGGUCCAGACUCCUACGGGCGGCAGCAGUUGGUAAUCUUCCGCGAUGGGCGAAAGCCUGACGGAGCAGCGCCGCGUGAGUGAUGAGGGUCUUCGUAUCGUAAAACUCUCUUAUUAGUGAAGAACAAAUGUGUAAGUAACUAUGCACGUCUUGACGGUACCUAGUCAGAAAGCCACGGCUAACUACGUG
RNAcentral lists this ribosomal RNA (497 nucleotides) under uncultured bacterium. RNAcentral describes it as "partial 16S ribosomal RNA". It matches the Rfam family "Bacterial small subunit ribosomal RNA", at positions 28 to 507 of the family's 1533-position model. The record is from RNAcentral.